GAUGAACGCUGGCGGCGUGCCUAAUACAUGCAAGUCGAGCGAAUGGAUUAAGAGCUUGCUCUUAUGAAGUUAGCGGCGGACGGGUGAGUAACACGUGGGUAACCUGCCCAUAAGACUGGGAUAACUCCGGGAAACCGGGGCGAAUACCGGAUAACAUUUUGAACCGCAUGGUUCGAAAUUGAAAGGCGGCUUCGGCUGUCACUUAUGGAUGGACCCGCGUCGCAUUAGAUAGUUGGUGAGGUAACGGCUCACCAAGGCAACGAUGCGUAGCCGACCUGGGAGGGUGAUCGGCCACACUGGGACUGAGACACGGCCCAGACUCCUACGGGAGGCAGCAGUAGGGAAUCUUCCGCAAUGGACGAAAGUCUGACGGAGCAACGCCGCGUGAGUGAUGAAGGCUUUCGGGUCGUAAAACUCUGUUGUUAGGGAAGAACAAGUGCUAGUUGAAUAAGCUGGCACCUUGACGGUACCUAACCAGAAAGCCACGGCUAACUACGUGCCAGCCGCCGCCGUAA
This 515-nucleotide ribosomal RNA is filed under the name uncultured bacterium. RNAcentral describes it as "partial 16S ribosomal RNA". It matches the Rfam family "Bacterial small subunit ribosomal RNA", at positions 28 to 523 of the family's 1533-position model. The record is from RNAcentral.